RNAcentral lists this ribosomal RNA (819 nucleotides) under Dietzia sp. RKEM 832. Its description in RNAcentral is "bacterial SSU rRNA". It matches the Rfam family "Bacterial small subunit ribosomal RNA", at positions 38 to 873 of the family's 1533-position model. The record is from RNAcentral. Lineage: Bacteria; Bacillati; Actinomycetota; Actinomycetes; Mycobacteriales; Dietziaceae.
GGCGGCGUGCUUAACACAUGCAAGUCGAACGGUAAGGCCCUUCGGGGUACACGAGUGGCGAACGGGUGAGUAACACGUGGGUAAUCUGCCCUGCACUUCGGGAUAAGCCUGGGAAACUGGGUCUAAUACCGGAUAUUCAGCUUNUGCCGCAUGGUGGUGGUUGGAAAGUUUUUCGGUGCAGGAUGAGCCCGCGGCCUAUCAGCUUGUUGGUGGGGUAAUGGCCUACCAAGGCGACGACGGGUAGCCGGCCUGAGAGGGUGAUCGGCCACACUGGGACUGAGACACGGCCCAGACUCCUACGGGAGGCAGCAGUGGGGAAUAUUGCACAAUGGGCGAAAGCCUGAUGCAGCGACGCCGCGUGGGGGAUGACGGUCUUCGGAUUGUAAACCCCUUUCAGUAGGGACGAAGCGCAAGUGACGGUACCUGCAGAAGAAGCACCGGCCAACUACGUGCCAGCAGCCGCGGUAAUACGUAGGGUGCGAGCGUUGUCCGGAAUUACUGGGCGUAAAGAGCUCGUAGGCGGUUUGUCGCGUCGUCCGUGAAAACUCGGAGCUUAACUCCGAGCUUGCGGGCGAUACGGGCAGACUUGAGUACUACAGGGGAGACUGGAAUUCCUGGUGUAGCGGUGAAAUGCGCAGAUAUCAGGAGGAACACCGGUGGCGAAGGCGGGUCUCUGGGUAGUAACUGACGCUGAGGAGCGAAAGCAUGGGUAGCGAACAGGAUUAGAUACCCUGGUAGUCCAUGCCGUAAACGGUGGGCGCUAGGUGUGGGGUCCUUCCACGGAUUCCGUGCCGUAGCUAACGCAUUAAGCGCCCCGCC